ACCGGAUUUACUGAAACUGCAGGACCUAAUGCCAGUUUGAAGACACUCUGUUGGUGCGUCGCUGUAUCUGAAUGAGUUACUGUUGGUUGAGGACACCCCAUUCACAGCUGAUGAGAGUGGCAGGAUGAGAGACAGCCAAGGGCCUGAGGACCCGAGGAUACAAAGACUCCUGACACGUCUGCCUCCAGCUCCGGCUUUACUCUCUAACACAAAGAAGCACAUGCAAAGAAAUCAGCUGACGGUGUUCUGGAUCGAUGUACCAUGAGAAGAAUAAGAGAAGACUCAAAGACAAAUAACGCUCACCAUGUGAAUCUUCAGCGUCUUAUGGUCAUUAGAGAAACUGCAGAAGAGUGAAAUGACCAAUUAGCCUGAUACUGUGUGGGUCAGUGUGAUGAUGGUGUCAGUGUCUGGACUCAGCAGCAGCAUAUUUGCAUCAGUCAUCCCAACUAGACCGUGAAGAGAAGGAUUUCCCUGCUCCGUUGUACCACAGAGUACCGCAUGGCGAAAAUGUGAUGCUGCAGGACCAUGUGCGAUGCCAUGCACAAAGAGGCUGGAGGCGGAGCUUGGAUGCUGACAAGUCUACUACUGCAUGCGCUCAUUGGCUCUCAAUGACAUCACUGCAAGGAGAGUGAAAGGAGUGAGUCUACCGUUCGAUCGCUCUCACACAUUCACAGACAGAAUAAAGAGCACAAGUGAAGGAGGCCACUGACAUUUCCGAUGACAUUUUCUUGCAAAGUUUUGCAAGCUUGUCCAAAUUAGCGGCAGCAUGAUAAUAGGCAAAAUACUAAAGUGCCAUCUUAAUUCUCAGGCCCACUCCCACCUGCCCUCUCUCCUCAGUGCACACAGAGGUUUGAGGGAUUAAAGUCACAAAGCAGUUAGAAGUGGUUUCACAGCUCAGAAGGCAAUUCACACAACUGUAGUCCAUCUAUCCAUUAAGCACUGACAUCACAGAGCAUCUCAAAGUAAAUAUGAUUGAUCGAUUACUUGUUGAUAUUGUGCCAAGCAUAGAGGAUAUUCCCUGUCAAAAUGGGCUUACAAGGCACCGUUAUUUACAAAUAACAUUAAACCAAUAAACUGUACUGUUGUCCGGGCUUUACACACAUAACUAGCCAACUUAUAUACAUUUGACUCAAACAUCCACUCCAUUCCAGUCACCACCGGUGUCCAUUUCUGGAUUUUAAAUAAAUAAAUGUGUGUUUAGUUCAUUAUCAUGAGCACAACACAGUAGAAAAUGUGACUCGUUCUUAAUUUCCCCUACAUCACAUAAUUCACACAAUUUAUUCUCCUUAUAAAAUGCUUUAAUCUGCCAAAUUAGAGGGUGAGGGUAAGGCUUCCUGUUCUUAACUGAGCAACUGAAGGCCGCUGUCUUCUUGAUAAAUUUGCUUUAUCAUUUUGUUCAGCAUAAUAGUUAUGCUUUGAAUUUGAAUGUAUGUUCUUAAUUUCUCUUUGCAUCUUUGCACACAACGGGGGUGUCAAACAUACGGCCCGAGGGCCAGAAUCGGCCCACCAGAGGGUCCAAUUUUGGCCCGCAUGAUGCAUUUGUGAAAAUUCUGGAACGGAAACACUAUAUUUACAACAUGAAAAGUUGGAUUUCUGAUGAGUCAGGGAAAUGCAUCCAACUUUGUCAUUAAUUAAAAAGAAAGUUAAUAUAACUGUGUCUACGUACCAGUUUGGCUUAUUAAGAAAUAUGGGACAUUUUCAUUGUCAAUAUUAACUCAUUAUGUUCAGUGAAUAGUGGGAAGUGCCACAAACGUUAACAAUGCAUGCUCAUGAGGCGCUUUUGGUACAUUUACUGGUCAAGUGCAUAGACUGCAAGUACACAGCAAGUGUGAGAAGACAACAUUACAUAGAGUUUAUGAGAAUAAAGAAAUCCAGGUUACUCUCCGGUCUGCUUUUAUUGACUUAAAUUGAAGGUUUAGAGAAUUUAACAAACUGGAUGCACUUUAUUUCAUUCAAAUAAACAUUAGUAAAGUUUCUCUUGACUUCAGCUUGAACGUAUGUGGUGUUUGUACAGUGUGUACAGACAAGUGGCUGAACAAGUGCCACAUCCCAAGAAAAAAGUGAUAUUACCUACCCAAGUUGAGUC
Solea senegalensis (Senegalese sole) is the source of this 2086-nucleotide long non-coding RNA. RefSeq lists it as uncharacterized. The transcript is spliced from 6 exons. Lineage: Eukaryota; Metazoa; Chordata; Actinopteri; Pleuronectiformes; Soleidae. The record is from RefSeq and is a predicted model, not a curated record.